UACGGGGGGAGCAAGCGUUGUUCGGAUUACUGGGCGUAAAGGGCGCGUAGGCGGCCAGCACAAGUCAGUUGUGAAAUCUCCGGGCUUAACUCGGAAAGGUCAACUGAUACUGUGCGGCUAGAGUGCAGAAGGGGCAACUGGAAUUCUCGGUGUAGCGGUGAAAUGCGUAGAUAUCGAGAGGAACACCUGCGGCGAAGGCGGGUUGCUGGGCUGACACUGACGCUGAUGCGCGAAAGCCAGGGGAGCGAACGGG
RNAcentral lists this ribosomal RNA (253 nucleotides) under uncultured bacterium. RNAcentral describes it as "partial 16S ribosomal RNA". It matches the Rfam family "Bacterial small subunit ribosomal RNA", at positions 524 to 776 of the family's 1533-position model. The record is from RNAcentral.